GUAGAGUUGAUCCUGGCGUCAGGAUGAACGCUGCGGGCGUGCUAACACAUAGCAAGUCGAACGGAGUAUUUGACUUUGAAUUCUAACGGAUGAAGAGUUGAUGCUAGUGGCGGACGGGUGAGUAACGCGUGGAGUAACCUGCCCCAUACCGGGGGAUAACAGCCGGAAACGGCUGCUAAUACCGCAUAAGCGCACGGGAAUGCAUGUUUCUGUGUGAAAAACUCCGGUGGUAUGGGAUGGAUCCGCGUCUGAUUAGCUGGUUGGCGGGGUAGAGGCCCACCAAGGCGACGAUCAGUAGCCGACCUGAGAGGGUGGCCGGCCACAUUGGGACUGAGGCACGGCCCAGACUCCUACGGGAGGCAGCAGUGGGGAAUAUUGCACAAUGGGGGAAACCCUGAUGCAGCGACGCCGCGUGAGUGAAGAAGUAUUUCGGUAUGUAAAGCUCUAUCAGCAGGGAAGAGAAUGACGGUACCUGAGUAAGAAGCCCCGGCUAACUACGUG
Molecule: ribosomal RNA, 501 nt
Filed under: uncultured Lachnospiraceae bacterium
Lineage: Bacteria; Bacillati; Bacillota; Clostridia; Lachnospirales; Lachnospiraceae
Description: bacterial SSU rRNA
Rfam family: Bacterial small subunit ribosomal RNA
Source: RNAcentral